UCAAACUUGGUCAUUUAGAGGAAGUAAAAGUCGUAACAAGGUCUCCGUUGGUGAACCAGCGGAGGGAUCAUUAUCGAGUUUACAACUCCCAAACCAUUGUGAAUCUUACCUUUUCGUUGCUUCGGCGGGAUCGCCCCGGGCGCUUCGGUGCCCCGGAUUCAGGCGCCCGCCGGGGGACCUAAACUCUUGUAUUAUAGUGGAUUUCUGAGUGGAUUACACAAAUAAUCAAAACUUUCAACAACGGAUCUCUUGGUUCUGGCAUCGAUGAAGAACGCAGC
Molecule: unclassified non-coding RNA, 278 nt
Filed under: uncultured fungus
Lineage: Eukaryota; Fungi
Description: partial contains small subunit ribosomal RNA, internal transcribed spacer 1, and 5.8S ribosomal RNA
Rfam family: Eukaryotic small subunit ribosomal RNA (bases 1-73)
Source: RNAcentral